RNAcentral lists this transfer RNA (72 nucleotides) under Ictidomys tridecemlineatus (thirteen-lined ground squirrel). Its description in RNAcentral is "Spermophilus tridecemlineatus (thirteen-lined ground squirrel) tRNA". It matches the Rfam family "tRNA". Rfam says of the family: Transfer RNA (tRNA) molecules are approximately 80 nucleotides in length. Their secondary structure includes four short double-helical elements and three loops (D, anti-codon, and T loops). Further hydrogen bonds mediate the characteristic L-shaped molecular structure. tRNAs have two regions of fundamental functional importance: the anti-codon, which is responsible for specific mRNA codon recognition, and the 3' end, to which the tRNAs corresponding amino acid is attached (by aminoacyl-tRNA synthetases). tRNAs cope with the degeneracy of the genetic code in two manners: having more than one tRNA (with a specific anti-codon) for a particular amino acid; and 'wobble' base-pairing, i.e. permitting non-standard base-pairing at the 3rd anti-codon position. The record is from Rfam by way of RNAcentral. Lineage: Eukaryota; Metazoa; Chordata; Mammalia; Rodentia; Sciuridae.
AGAGAUGUAGCUCAGUGGUAGAGUGUUUGCCUAGUACAUACAAGGUCCUGGGUUCAAGCCCCAGCACUGCAA